This 229-nucleotide ribosomal RNA is filed under the name uncultured bacterium. Its description in RNAcentral is "partial 16S ribosomal RNA". It matches the Rfam family "Bacterial small subunit ribosomal RNA", at positions 568 to 796 of the family's 1533-position model. The record is from RNAcentral.
UGCGCAGGCGGAAGAAUAAGUCAGUGGUGAAAUACUGCCGCUCAACGGUAGGGCUGCCAUUGAUACUGUUUUUCUUGAGUAUGGUUGAGGUAGGCGGAAUGUGCGGUGUAGCGGUGAAAUGCAUAGAUAUCGCCCAGAACGCCGAUUGCGAAGGCAGCUUACUAAACCAUUACUGACGCUGAGGCACGAAAGCGUGGGGAGCGAACAGGAUUAGAUACCCUGGUAGUCC